RNAcentral lists this ribosomal RNA (1332 nucleotides) under Mycobacterium sp. NSG-5. RNAcentral describes it as "bacterial SSU rRNA". It matches the Rfam family "Bacterial small subunit ribosomal RNA", at positions 96 to 1438 of the family's 1533-position model. The record is from RNAcentral. Lineage: Bacteria; Bacillati; Actinomycetota; Actinomycetes; Mycobacteriales; Mycobacteriaceae.
UGGCGAACGGGUGAGUAACACGUGGGUGAUCUGCCCUGCACUUUGGGAUAAGCCUGGGAAACUGGGUCUAAUACCGAAUACACCCUUCUGGCUGCAUGGUCUGGUUGGGGAAAGCUUUUGCGGUGUGGGAUGGGCCCGCGGCCUAUCAGCUUGUUGGUGAGGUUACGGCUCACCAAGGCGACGACGGGUAGCCGGCCUGAGAGGGUGACCGGCCACACUGGGACUGAGAUACGGCCCAGACUCCUACGGGAGGCAGCAGUGGGGAAUAUUGCACAAUGGGCGCAAGCCUGAUGCAGCGACGCCGCGUGAGGGAUGACGGCCUUCGGGUUGUAAACCUCUUUCGCCAGGGACGAAGCGCAAGUGACGGUACCUGGAGAAGAAGGACCGGCCAACUACGUGCCAGCAGCCGCGGUAAUACGUAGGGUCCGAGCGUUGUCCGGAAUUACUGGGCGUAAAGAGCUCGUAGGUGGUUUGUCGCGUUGUUCGUGAAAACUCACAGCUCAACUGUGGGCGUGCGGGCGAUACGGGCAGACUGGAGUACUGCAGGGGAGACUGGAAUUCCUGGUGUAGCGGUGGAAUGCGCAGAUAUCAGGAGGAACACCGGUGGCGAAGGCGGGUCUCUGGGCAGUAACUGACGCUGAGGAGCGAAAGCGUGGGGAGCGAACAGGAUUAGAUACCCUGGUAGUCCACGCCGUAAACGGUGGGUACUAGGUGUGGGUUUCCUUCCUUGGGAUCCGUGCCGUAGCUAACGCAUUAAGUACCCCGCCUGGGGAGUACGGCCGCAAGGCUAAAACUCAAAGAAAUUGACGGGGGCCCGCACAAGCGGCGGAGCAUGUGGAUUAAUUCGAUGCAACGCGAAGAACCUUACCUGGGUUUGACAUGCACAGGACGUGCCUAGAGAUAGGUAUUCCCUUGUGGCCUGUGUGCAGGUGGUGCAUGGCUGUCGUCAGCUCGUGUCGUGAGAUGUUGGGUUAAGUCCCGCAACGAGCGCAACCCUUAUCUUAUGUUGCCAGCGCGUAAUGGCGGGGACUCGUGAGAGACUGCCGGGGUCAACUCGGAGGAAGGUGGGGAUGACGUCAAGUCAUCAUGCCCCUUAUGUCCAGGGCUUCACACAUGCUACAAUGGCCGGUACAAAGGGCUGCGAUGCCGUGAGGUGGAGCGAAUCCUUUCAAAGCCGGUCUCAGUUCGGAUCGGGGUCUGCAACUCGACCCCGUGAAGUCGGAGUCGCUAGUAAUCGCAGAUCAGCAACGCUGCGGUGAAUACGUUCCCGGGCCUUGUACACACCGCCCGUCACGUCAUGAAAGUCGGUAACACCCGAAGCCGGUGGCCUAA